UACGUAGGGGGCAAGCGUUGUCCGGAUUCACUGGGCGUAAAGCGCGUGUAGGCGGCGCGUCAAGUCGGGUGUGAAAGCCCGGGGCUCAACCCCGGGAUGCCGCUCGAAACUGGCGCGCUUGAGGACGGAAGAGGGGAGUGGAAUUCCUGGUGUAGCGGUGAAAUGCGUAGAGAUCAGGAGGAACACCCGUGGCGAAGGCGGCUCCCUGGUCCGUCCCUGACGCUGAGACGCGAAAGCGCGGGGAGUGAACGGG
Molecule: ribosomal RNA, 253 nt
Filed under: uncultured bacterium
Lineage: Bacteria
Description: partial 16S ribosomal RNA
Rfam family: Bacterial small subunit ribosomal RNA
Source: RNAcentral